UUACAGUUGAAUUGCCCAGAAUAGAGCAACCACCAGGGGGAGAUAACUGGAGAGGACACCAAACCAAAUGUGAUCAGUCGUAUGUAUCGCAUCAGUCCAUCUCUAAAAUAGUCUUAACUAGGAACUCCUCUUACUCUGGCCAUGCCAAAGCUUUCCUGGAACCACCUAUCUUGAACUUGCAGGCCGGCUAGUUUAUUAUAGGAAAGUGGAAGAAGAAAU
Long non-coding RNA from Rhodamnia argentea, 219 nucleotides. RefSeq lists it as uncharacterized. The transcript is spliced from 3 exons. Lineage: Eukaryota; Viridiplantae; Streptophyta; Magnoliopsida; Myrtales; Myrtaceae. The record is from RefSeq and is a predicted model, not a curated record.